AUGAAGCUGGAAUUGCUAGUAAUGGCAGGUCAGCAUACUGCCGUGAAUACGUUCCCGGGCCUUGUACACACCGCCCGUCACACCAUGAGAGUUGGGAAUACCCGAAGCCUGUGAGCUAACUUUUAGAGGCAGCAGUCGAAGGUAGAAUCAAUGAUUGGGGUGAAGUCGUAACAAGGUAGC
RNAcentral lists this ribosomal RNA (180 nucleotides) under uncultured bacterium. RNAcentral describes it as "partial 16S ribosomal RNA". It matches the Rfam family "Bacterial small subunit ribosomal RNA", at positions 1320 to 1500 of the family's 1533-position model. The record is from RNAcentral.